GAUGAACGCUGGCGGCGUGCCUAAUACAUGCAAGUCGAGCGAACAGACGAGGAGCUUGCUCCUCUGACGUUAGCGGCGGACGGGUGAGUAACACGUGGAUAACCUACCUAUAAGACUGGGAUAACUUCGGGAAACCGGAGCUAAUACCGGAUAAUAUAUUGAACCGCAUGGUUCAAUAGUGAAAGACGGUUUUGCUGUCACUUAUAGAUGGAUCCGCGCCGCAUUAGCUAGUUGGUAAGGUAACGGCUUACCAAGGCAACGAUGCGUAGCCGACCUGAGAGGGUGAUCGGCCACACGGGAACUGAGACACGGCCCAGACUCCUACGGGAGGAAGCAGUAGGGAAUCUUCCGCGAUGGGCGAAAGCCUGACGGAGCAACGCCGCGUGAGUGAUGAAGGUCUUCGGAUCGUAAAACUCUGUUAUUAGGGAAGAACAAAUGUGUAAGUAACUAUGCACGUCUUGACGGUACCUAAUCAGAAAGCCACGGCUAACUACGUG
RNAcentral lists this ribosomal RNA (497 nucleotides) under uncultured bacterium. RNAcentral describes it as "partial 16S ribosomal RNA". It matches the Rfam family "Bacterial small subunit ribosomal RNA", at positions 28 to 507 of the family's 1533-position model. The record is from RNAcentral.